AGUUUUAACACUAGUGGCGUUGUAUUUCAUCAGGUUUUAUUCACAUCCACAAAGUUGUCAAUGAGGGCACAACAAUGCCCUAAUUUGACUCUAACAUAACACAACUGCUAUUUUGUUGCAGAUACCAUUGACAAGAAGGCGGCUUGCAGCUCAGUCUCUCCAAAGAGGAACAAUACCUAAGUUACAGCCUCUAAAGCCGGAGGAGGAAAGAGAUCCAGAUUUCAGCCACUUUUUUGGCACUAGUCAUGUCUACGACAAAGACGAGAACCUUGGAAAUACAUUCCUGCUGCCCUGGGUUUAAAACCAAAAUGCUUAAAUCUAUUGUAUGAAUUAAAUAAAAAAUCUAGUUUUACAGAAAA
Strigops habroptila (Kakapo) is the source of this 359-nucleotide long non-coding RNA. RefSeq lists it as uncharacterized. The transcript is spliced from 2 exons. The record is from RefSeq and is a predicted model, not a curated record. NCBI's taxonomy places the organism in Eukaryota, Metazoa, Chordata, Aves, Psittaciformes, Psittacidae.